CGCUGGCCGGUUAGCUCAGUUGG
Molecule: non-coding RNA, 23 nt
Filed under: Cricetulus griseus (Chinese hamster)
Lineage: Eukaryota; Metazoa; Chordata; Mammalia; Rodentia; Cricetidae
Source: RNAcentral